GUGCUCGCUUCAGCAGCACAUGCACUAAAAUUGGAAUGAUGCAGAGAUUAGCAUGGCCCCUGUGCAAGGAUGAUAAGCAAAUAUGUGAAGCGUUCUGUAUUUUC
Pteronotus mesoamericanus is the source of this 104-nucleotide small nuclear RNA. Lineage: Eukaryota; Metazoa; Chordata; Mammalia; Chiroptera; Mormoopidae. The record is from RefSeq and is a predicted model, not a curated record.